RNAcentral lists this ribosomal RNA (26 nucleotides) under Mrakia sp. OM31-1. Its description in RNAcentral is "partial 18S ribosomal RNA". The record is from RNAcentral. Lineage: Eukaryota; Fungi; Basidiomycota; Tremellomycetes; Cystofilobasidiales; Mrakiaceae.
CGUAGGUGACCUGCGGAGGAUCACUA